CCCUAGUAACUGCGAGUGAAGCGGGAAAAGCUCAAAUUUAAAAUCUGGCGGUUUUGCCGUCCGAGUUGUAGUCUGGAGAAGCGUUUUCCGUGCUGGACCGUGUAAAAGUCUCUUGGAACAGAGCAUCAUAGAGGGUGAGAAUCCCGUCUUUGACAUGGACUACCAGUGCUUUGUGAUGCGCUCUCGAAGAGUCGCGUUGUUUGGGAAUGCAGCGCAAAAUGGGUGGUAUAUUCCAUCUAAAGCUAAAUAUUGGCGAGAGACCGAUAGCGAACAAGUACCGUGAGGGAAAGAUGAAAAGCACUUUGGAAAGAGAGUUAAACAGUACGUGAAAUUGUUGAAAGGGAAACGCUUGAAGUCAGUCGCGUCUGCUGGGACUCAGCCUUGCAUUUUUGCUUGGUGUAUUUCCUAGUUGACGGGCCAGCAUCGAUUUUGACCGUUGGAUAAAGUUCGAGGGAAUGUGGCACCUCCGGGUGUGUUAUAGCCCUUGUCCGCAUGCAACGGUUGGGAUCGAGGUUCGCAGCACGCCUUUAUGGCCGGGGUUCGCCCACGUACGUGCUUAGGAUGCUGGCGUAAUGGCUUUAAACGA
Molecule: ribosomal RNA, 586 nt
Filed under: Agaricales sp.
Lineage: Eukaryota; Fungi; Basidiomycota; Agaricomycetes; Agaricales
Description: LSU rRNA
Rfam family: Eukaryotic large subunit ribosomal RNA
Source: RNAcentral